This 441-nucleotide ribosomal RNA is filed under the name Triticum aestivum (bread wheat). RNAcentral describes it as "partial small subunit ribosomal RNA". Lineage: Eukaryota; Viridiplantae; Streptophyta; Magnoliopsida; Poales; Poaceae. The record is from RNAcentral.
AUGUCCUCUGGGUUUGGGAAUGUCAAGCAAACGUUCAGAUGGAGCUCCAAGUAUGGCACACACAGACCCAAUAUGGGAUUUAAGUCCAGCAUCGGGUCAAGCUGGUGGCGCGUCUCGAAUCGACUUGUUGGCAGCUGUUGCAACAGGCACCAGUGUUCCGCGGAGAGGAACAUGUGCAGCGACUGGCGGUGCAGACAUGCUUGCAUGAGCAACUGGCAAAUGAUGGGUGCUGCAGUAGAUGGUUCAUCAUCCAAAGUAGAACCAGAGGCUGUGACCGUAAGGUUUGCAAGGAUACUGAUAAAUGAGCCUGCUCCAUCUGAUGUAUACACCUUCUACGGAAAUGGUUUUCAUAUCCUCGUCCCUACAAGCUGGAGACCAACGGGCAAGCCGUCUAGAAGAACUUUGGUCCAGGACAAGGCCCUAGGUGCAAUGGCAUGGUAG